Molecule: ribosomal RNA, 562 nt
Filed under: uncultured bacterium
Lineage: Bacteria
Description: bacterial SSU rRNA
Rfam family: Bacterial small subunit ribosomal RNA
Source: RNAcentral
CCUACGGGAGGCAGCAGUUAGGAAUCUUGCGCAAUGGGCGAAAGCCUGACGCAGCGACGCCGCGUGCGGGAUGACGGCCUUCGGGUUGUAAACCGCUUUCAGCAGGGACGAUUAUGACGGUACCUGCAGAAGAAGCCCCGGCCAACUACGUGCCAGCAGCCGCGGUAAUACGUAGGGGGCAAGCGUUGUCCGGAUUUAUUGGGCGUAAAGAGCUCGUAGGCGGUUUGGUAAGUCGGGUGUGAAAUCUCCACGCUCAACGUGGAGGGGCCACUCGAUACUGCCAUGACUCGAGUCCGGUAGAGGAGUGUGGAAUUCCCGGUGUAGCGGUGAAAUGCGCAGAUAUCGGGAGGAACACCCGUAGCGAAGGCGGCACUCUGGGCCGGAACUGACGCUGAGGAGCGAAAGCGUGGGGAGCAAACAGGAUUAGAUACCCUGGUAGUCCACGCCGUAAACGUUGGGCACUAGGUGUGGGGAUCUAUCGACGGUUUCCGUGCCGAAGCUAACGCAUUAAGUGCCCGCUAGGGGAGUACGGCCGCAGGCUAAAACGUCAAAGGAUUGACGG